This 215-nucleotide transfer-messenger RNA is filed under the name Mycobacterium arupense. RNAcentral's name for it is "Mycolicibacter arupensis partial transfer-messenger RNA". It matches the Rfam family "transfer-messenger RNA", at positions 156 to 374 of the family's 374-position model. From Rfam's summary of the family: Bacterial tmRNA, also known as 10Sa RNA or SsrA, is named for its dual tRNA and mRNA-like properties. Its role is to liberate the mRNA from a stalled ribosome. The record is from RNAcentral. Lineage: Bacteria; Bacillati; Actinomycetota; Actinomycetes; Mycobacteriales; Mycobacteriaceae.
CCGGGAGCUCCCUCGGCCCGGACCCUGGCAUCGACUAGAGGGAUCCACCGAUACGUCCGGUCGCGGGAUGUAUCGGGACACCAACAGCGACUGGGAUCGUCAUCUCGGCUUGUUCGCGUGACCGGGAGAUCCAAGUAGAGGCAUAGCGAACUGCGCACGGAGAAGUCUUGAGGGAAUGCCGUAGGACCCGGGUUCGAUUCCCGGCAGCUCCACAA